RNAcentral lists this ribosomal RNA (253 nucleotides) under uncultured bacterium. RNAcentral's name for it is "partial 16S ribosomal RNA". It matches the Rfam family "Bacterial small subunit ribosomal RNA", at positions 524 to 776 of the family's 1533-position model. The record is from RNAcentral.
UACGUAGGUGACAAGCGUUAUCCGGAUUUAUUGGGCGUAAAGCGCACGCAGGCGGCUCUUCAAGUCUGACGUGAAAUCUCUCGGCUUAACCGGGAGCGGUCGUUGGAAACUGAAGGGCUUGAGGCGAUGAGAGGGGUGUGGAAUUCCCGGUGUAGUGGUGGAAUGCGUAGAUAUCGGGAGGAACAUCAGUGGCGAAAGCGGCACCCUGGCAUUAGCCUGACGCUCAUGUGCGAAAGCCAGGGGAGCGAACGGG